This 481-nucleotide ribosomal RNA is filed under the name uncultured bacterium. Its description in RNAcentral is "partial 16S ribosomal RNA". It matches the Rfam family "Bacterial small subunit ribosomal RNA", at positions 28 to 523 of the family's 1533-position model. The record is from RNAcentral.
GACGAACGCUGGCGGCGUGCUUAACACAUGCAAGUCGAACGGUAAGGCCCUUCGGGGUACACGAGUGGCGAACGGGUGAGUAACACGUGGGUGAUCUGCCCUGCACUUCGGGAUAAGCCUGGGAAACUGGGUCUAAUACCGGAUAGGACCCUGGGAUGCAUGUCCUGGGGUGGAAAGCUUUUGCGGGGUGGGAUGGGCCCGCGGCCUAUCAGCUAGUUGGUGAGGUAAUGGUUCACCAAGGCAACGAUCAGUAUCCGGUCUGAGAGGACGGUCGGACACACUGGAACUGAGACACGGUCCAGACUCCUACGGGAGGCAGCAGUGGGGAAUUUUUGGCAAUGGGGGCAACCCUGACCAAGCAACGCCGCGUGGGUGAUGAAGUCUCUUGGGACGUAAAACCCUUUCGACGGGGACGAAACCGCAAGGUUGACGGUACCCGUAGAAGAAGCCCCGGCUAACUCCGUGCCAGCCGCCGCCGUAA